RNAcentral lists this ribosomal RNA (496 nucleotides) under uncultured bacterium. RNAcentral describes it as "partial 16S ribosomal RNA". It matches the Rfam family "Bacterial small subunit ribosomal RNA", at positions 28 to 506 of the family's 1533-position model. The record is from RNAcentral.
GAUGAACGCUGGCGGCGUGCCUAAUACAUGCAAGUCGAGCGAACGGACGAGAAGCUUGCUUCUCUGAUGUUAGCGGCGGACGGGUGAGUAACACGUGGAUAACCUACCUAUAAGACUGGGAUAACUUCGGGAAACCGGAGCUAAUACCGGAUAAUAUUUUGAACCGCAUGGUUCAAAAGUGAAAGACGGUCUUGCUGUCACUUAUAGAUGGAUCCGCGCUGCAUUAGCUAGUUGGUAAGGUAACGGCUUACCAAGGCAACGAUGCAUAGCCGACCUGAGAGGGUGAUCGGCCACACUGGAACUGAGACACGGUCCAGACUCCUACGGGAGGCAGCAGUAGGGAAUCUUCCGCAAUGGGCGAAAGCCUGACGGAGCGACGCCGCGUGAGUGAUGAAGGUCUUCGGAUCGUAAAACUCUGUUAUUAGGGAAGAACAUAUGUGUAAGUAACUGUGCACAUCUUGACGGUACCUAAUCAGAAAGCCACGGCUAACUACGU